UGGGGAAUAUUGCACAAUGGGGGAAACCCUGAUGCAGCGACGCCGCGUGAGUGAAGAAGGUCUUCGGAUCGUAAAACUCUGUCCUUGGUGAAGAAAAAAAUGACGGUAGCCA
RNAcentral lists this ribosomal RNA (112 nucleotides) under uncultured bacterium. Its description in RNAcentral is "partial 16S ribosomal RNA". It matches the Rfam family "Bacterial small subunit ribosomal RNA", at positions 355 to 481 of the family's 1533-position model. The record is from RNAcentral.